AGCCGCCACCGUCUUUAAUGUUUGUCGGCGCAGGUCUCUGUCAGCGACGUUCAACGCGAAUUUCAUUCAUUUCGUUGUGAUUUUUCAUUAAAAUUUUAUAAAAAUUCAUAAUAAAUCUUUAAAAUUCUUAAGUCUAAACAAUAAAUAAAUUAAAUUUAAUAUCCAAAUAUGUAAAUAAAACAUUUAAAACAAAUUUUUAGAAGUGCGAAACUAAAAUAAACAUAAUAUAAAAUAUUGCACAUCAGCAACAAGAUCACACAAUUUUUUUGUCAUAAUUUUUUCUACGGUGGAGAAAUAAAAAAGAAGGUUGAACAAAAGUUAAAGCUGAGUUAGUUCACAAAGAAAUUUAUAUAAAAAAGCAAUUUUUUGUAAAAAAGAAAUGUAUUAAAAUGUGAUAAAUAGAAUUUUGCUAUAAAAAUUAAAAAUAAAUGUUUGAAAAAAAGCCUUUUAAAGUGUGCGAAGUAUAAAAAAGAAUGUAACAAAAUGUUACGGACUUUGGAGUGUAAGAGGAAUGUGUAAUGAAGAAGAAAAAAAAUAUUAAUAUAAAAAGUAAAAUAAAUACAACAAAACAAAAAGUGUUCAACAGUCAGUCAUUUUAAAAUUAAUUUUUGUUCACUUCCAAUGUUCUUUUUUAUUAUUUUGGUUAAGUAGUGUAUGUUGUUGUUUUUGUGGUUUUUCUAUAACAAAAAAGACAAGUUGUUGCUUCUUUAGGCCGCACUUUGUUGCUGGCAAAAAAACAGAAGAAAAAAAUAAUCAUAAUAAAGCAGCAACAGCGGCGCCUGCCACCACCACCAACACCAUUUACUUACUCUAUCACUCCCUACUACCACUAAUCAACCAACCAACCGCUACUGUGUUUAACCUCCAGGUGCAUUCAUACAAACAUAUAAAACACACAAAAAAUUAAACAAAAGGAAAAUAUAUAUUUAAAAAAUUCUAAUUUAUUAAAAAAAGUAUUAAAGUGUUGUGAAAGACAUUUUUUGUUGUUUUCUUUUUGUGCUUAAAAUUCGCAAAAAAUAUUUUGCUGACUGCAGAAAUUGUGGAUAAUUCUCAUUCGCUUUUAAACGGAAUACACAUUUUUCUUCAGCUGAUAAUAUUUCUAAACGAAACUGUGCAGCAACAACAAAAAGGGACUUGUUGGCACAACUCCGUCUGUGUGAAAAGCCACAUUGAAAUGUUUAUGUUUAUGCUUUGAAUUACUGUUACUGAUAUCAAUAUAAAGAAAGAUAAAUCGUCAUACAGACGAGCGGACAUGCAGAAAUAUCAAGUUAAAACUAAAACCAACAAUAAGUUUUGAAAGACAUCGUCCAUUCGAGCAACCAGCACUCACCUGGAAACCCCAAACCAAAUAACGAUACG
Molecule: long non-coding RNA, 1359 nt
Organism: Lucilia cuprina (Australian sheep blowfly)
Lineage: Eukaryota; Metazoa; Arthropoda; Insecta; Diptera; Calliphoridae
Exons: 2
Source: RefSeq, a predicted model, not a curated record